Molecule: long non-coding RNA, 144 nt
Organism: Homo sapiens (human)
Lineage: Eukaryota; Metazoa; Chordata; Mammalia; Primates; Hominidae
Source: Ensembl
CAGCCUGAGCCACGGCCGCGUCGUCUACAGCCCCGGGGAGCCGUUGGCUGGGACCGUGCGCGUGCGCCUGGGGGCACCGCUGCCGUUCCGAGGCAGUUCCGGCGAGGGGGGAGCCUCAGCAGGAUUGCUGUGUGAAAACCGAGC